This 600-nucleotide ribosomal RNA is filed under the name uncultured Bacteroidota bacterium. RNAcentral's name for it is "bacterial SSU rRNA". It matches the Rfam family "Bacterial small subunit ribosomal RNA", at positions 54 to 647 of the family's 1533-position model. The record is from RNAcentral. Lineage: Bacteria; Pseudomonadati; Bacteroidota.
CAUGCAAGUCGAGGGGCAGCAUAAAUUACUUGUAAUUUGAUGGCGACCGGCGAACGGGUGCGUAACGCGUAUGCAACUUACCUUUUACUAGAGAAUAGCCAAGAGAAAUUUUGAUUAAUGCUCUAUGUUCUUAUUUACUCGCAUGAGUAAAUAAGCAAAGCUCCGGCGGUAAAAGAUGGGCAUGCGUCCUAUUAGCUUGUAGGUGAGGUAAUGGCUCACCUAAGCUCCGAUAGGUAGGGGUCCUGAGAGGGAGAUCCCCCACACUGGUACUGAGACACGGACCAGACUUCUACGGAAGGCAGCAGUAAGGAAUAUUGGACAAUGGAGGCAACUCUGAUCCAGCCAUGCCGCGUGAAGGAAGACGGCCUUAUGGGUUGUAAACUUCUUUUAUACAGGAAGAAACCUUUCCACGUGUGGAAAGUUGACGGUACUGUAAGAAUAAGGAUCGGCUAACUCCGUGCCAGCAGCCGCGGUAAUACGGAGGAUCCAAGCGUUAUCCGGAAUUAUUGGGUUUAAAGGGUCCGCAGGCUGUUUGUUAAGUCAGAGGUGAAAUCCUACCGCUCAACGGUAGAACUGCCUUUGAUACUGGCAAACUUGAGU